This 440-nucleotide ribosomal RNA is filed under the name uncultured bacterium. RNAcentral describes it as "partial 16S ribosomal RNA". It matches the Rfam family "Bacterial small subunit ribosomal RNA", at positions 338 to 795 of the family's 1533-position model. The record is from RNAcentral.
CCUACGGGUGGCAGCAGUGGGGAAUAUUGCACAAUGGGCGAAACCCUGAUCCAGCGACGCCGCGUGAAGGAAGAAGUCUUUCGGUAUGUAAACUUCUAUCAGCAGGGACGAAAAUGACGGUACUUGCCUAAGAAUCCCCGGCUACCUACGUGCCAGCAGCCGCGGUAAUACUUAGGGGGCAACCGUUAUCCGGCUUUACUGGGUGUAAAGGGAGCGUAGGCGGUUUAGCAAGUCAGAAGUGAAAGCCCGGGGCUCAACUCCUGGACUGCUUUUGAAACUGUUGUACUAGAUGGCAGGAGAGGUAGGUGGAAUUCCUAGUGUAGCGGUGAAAUGCGUAGAUAUUAGGAGGAACACCAGUGGCGAAGGCGGCUUACUGGACUGUAAAUGACGCUGAGGCUCGAAAGCGUGGGGAGCAAACAGGAUUAGAUACCCGAGUAGUC